Molecule: small nuclear RNA, 20 nt
Filed under: Arabidopsis thaliana (thale cress)
Lineage: Eukaryota; Viridiplantae; Streptophyta; Magnoliopsida; Brassicales; Brassicaceae
Description: snRNA_15140
Source: RNAcentral
UUUAAUGGCGUCAUAAUCAU